Molecule: ribosomal RNA, 496 nt
Filed under: uncultured bacterium
Lineage: Bacteria
Description: partial 16S ribosomal RNA
Rfam family: Bacterial small subunit ribosomal RNA
Source: RNAcentral
GAUGAACGCUGGCGGCGUGCCUAAUACAUGCGAGUCGAACGCUGAAGGAAGGAGCUUGCUCUUUCCGGAUGAGUUGCGAACGGGUGAGUAACGCGUAGGUAACCUGCCUGGUAGCGGGGGAUAACUAUUGGAAACGAUAGCUAAUACCGCAUAACAGUAGAUGUUGCAUGAUAUCUACUUAAAAGGUGCAAUUGCACCACUACCAGAUGGACCUGCGUUGUAUUAGCUAGUUGGUGAGGUAACGGCUCACCAAGGCGACGAUACAUAGCCGACCUGAGAGGGUGAUCGGCCACACUGGGACUGAGACACGGCCCAGACUCCUACGGGAGGCAGCAGUAGGGAAUCUUCGGCAAUGGACGGAAGUCUGACCGAGCAACGCCGCGUGAGUGAAGAAGGUGUUCGGAUCGUAAAGCUCUGUUGUAAGAGAAGAACGAGUGUGAGAGUGGAAAGUUCACACUGGGACGGUAUCUUACCAGAAAGGGACGGCUAACUACGG